UACGUAGGGUGCAAGCGUUAAUCGGAAUUACUGGGCGUAAAGCGUGCGCAGGCGGUUAUGUAAGACAGAUGUGAAAUGCCCGGGCUUAACCUGGGAACUGCAUUUGUAACUGCAUGGCUAGAGUUUGGCAGAGGGGGGUAGAAUUCCACGUGUAGCAGUGAAAUGCGUAGAUAUGUGGAGGAACACCGAUGGCGAAGGCAGCCCCCUGGGUCAAGACUGACGCUCAUGCACGAAAGCGUGGGGAGCAAACAGG
RNAcentral lists this ribosomal RNA (253 nucleotides) under uncultured bacterium. RNAcentral describes it as "partial 16S ribosomal RNA". It matches the Rfam family "Bacterial small subunit ribosomal RNA", at positions 524 to 776 of the family's 1533-position model. The record is from RNAcentral.